CAACUUUCAACAACGGAUCUCUUGGCUCUCGCAUCGAUGAAGAACGCAGCGAAAUGCGAUAAGUAAUGUGAAUUGCAGAAUUCAGUGAAUCAUCGAAUCUUUGAACGCACCUUGCGCCCUUUGGUAUUCCGAAGGGCAUGCCUGUUUGAGUGUCAUGU
RNAcentral lists this ribosomal RNA (158 nucleotides) under Hydnoporia intricata. RNAcentral's name for it is "Hymenochaetopsis intricata 5.8S ribosomal RNA". It matches the Rfam family "5.8S ribosomal RNA". From Rfam's summary of the family: 5.8S ribosomal RNA (5.8S rRNA) is a component of the large subunit of the eukaryotic ribosome. It is transcribed by RNA polymerase I as part of the 45S precursor that also contains 18S and 28S rRNA. Functionally, it is thought that 5.8S rRNA may be involved in ribosome translocation. RNAcentral also lists the same sequence under 3 other names. The record is from RNAcentral. Lineage: Eukaryota; Fungi; Basidiomycota; Agaricomycetes; Hymenochaetales; Hymenochaetaceae.